Molecule: transfer RNA, 59 nt
Filed under: Apaloderma vittatum (bar-tailed trogon)
Lineage: Eukaryota; Metazoa; Chordata; Aves; Trogoniformes; Trogonidae
Source: Rfam by way of RNAcentral
UAGCUCAGUUGGUUAGAGCGUGGUGCUGCUAACACCAAGGUCACAGGUUUGAUCCCCAU